GGCAGCGUAGAGCGUCAGUUAAUCCGGCUCUUACAAAGCAGAUGUCGGCGGUUCGAAACCGUCCGCGCCCACCA
This 74-nucleotide transfer RNA is filed under the name Streptomyces sp. ok210. Its description in RNAcentral is "tRNA_Val_TAC". The record is from RNAcentral. Lineage: Bacteria; Bacillati; Actinomycetota; Actinomycetes; Kitasatosporales; Streptomycetaceae.